RNAcentral lists this ribosomal RNA (475 nucleotides) under uncultured bacterium. RNAcentral describes it as "bacterial SSU rRNA". It matches the Rfam family "Bacterial small subunit ribosomal RNA", at positions 34 to 507 of the family's 1533-position model. The record is from RNAcentral.
CGCUGGCGGCGUGCUUAAUACAUGCAAGUCAACUUGACUUAGAUAGCAAUAUCGAAAGGUAGGGUGGCGCACGGGUGCGUAACGCGUAGGUAAUCUGCCCUGAGGUCUGACAUAACCCGUCGAAAGGCGGGCUAACAUCAGAUGAUAUACAAUCACGACAUCGUGGAAGUAUCAAAUCUUCGGAGCCUUGGGAUGAGCCUGCGUCUGAUUAGGUAGUUGGCGGAGUAAUAGCCCACCAAGCCUACGAUCAGUAGCUGGUCUGAGAGGAUGAUCAGCCACACUGGAACUGAGACACGGUCCAGACUCCUACGGGAGGCAGCAGUAAGGAAUAUUGCUCAAUGGGGGGAAACCCUGAAGCAGCAACGCCGCGUGAAGGAUGAAAUUACUUUUGUAUGUAAACUUCUGUAAGAUGGGAAAAAUAUUCUCCUCGGGAGAAUUGAUUGUACCAUCAGAGUAAGCCCCGGCUAACUACGUG